Molecule: ribosomal RNA, 404 nt
Filed under: uncultured Ochrobactrum sp.
Lineage: Bacteria; Pseudomonadati; Pseudomonadota; Alphaproteobacteria; Hyphomicrobiales; Brucellaceae
Description: bacterial SSU rRNA
Rfam family: Bacterial small subunit ribosomal RNA
Source: RNAcentral
UGGGGAAUAUUGGACAAUGGGCGCAAGCCUGAUCCAGCCAUGCCGCGUGAGUGAUGAAGGCCCUAGGGUUGUAAAGCUCUUUCACCGGUGAAGAUAAUGACGGUAACCGGAGAAGAAGCCCCGGCUAACUUCGUGCCAGCAGCCGCGGUAAUACGAAGGGGGCUAGCGUUGUUCGGAUUUACUGGGCGUAAAGCGCACGUAGGCGGGCUAAUAAGUCAGGGGUGAAAUCCCGGGGCUCAACCCCGGAACUGCCUUUGAUACUGUUAGUCUUGAGUAUGGUAGAGGUGAGUGGAAUUCCGAGUGUAGAGGUGAAAUUCGUAGAUAUUCGGAGGAACACCAGUGGCGAAGGCGGCUCACUGGACCAUUACUGACGCUGAGGUGCGAAAGCGUGGGGAGCAAACAGG